UUCUGCAUGGUGCCCAUUCGUAGUAUUUUGGGAGACAAAGGAGCUGUAGAUUGCUUUUGUGUGCCCAAUCAAACAAGCCAAAGGCAGGUUCCCAUUUUCAUACUUGGACGUGCAUGGCGCGAUCUGUCUUUUGACUGGGUCAUGUCGAAAAGCAAUAAGUCCAUAAAUAGGCCACCAACUCCUGAGCCCGAGGAAUCCCGCGAUCUCACACUUGAGGAGAGCGUGCAAUUGAAGGUACGGUAUAAGUUGGAUCUUCUGCUCCCUGACAAGGGUGUGCCAUGCAUGUGUAACGUCCUUCUGCCUCUUUGAAAAUUGUAUUAAAUGUUUUACGAACGACUAAAACUACCAUGGCCAUGUUGUGCGCUCUUCCCAUCAGCAACUUUCUAGAGCAACGAAGUGACGAUUCCCUGUCUAUUGUGCAGCUGGUGCAGAGUGGCGAGAAGGAAAG
Molecule: long non-coding RNA, 448 nt
Filed under: Coccomyxa subellipsoidea
Lineage: Eukaryota; Viridiplantae; Chlorophyta; Trebouxiophyceae; Coccomyxaceae
Description: long non-coding RNA (CSUB_LNC000217)
Source: RNAcentral